CAGUAGCCACGGGAAUACGUAGGGUGCAAGCGUUAAUCGGAAUUACUGGGCGUAAAGCGUACGUAGGCGGCUUUGUAAGUUAGAGGUGAAAGCCUGGAGCUCAACUCCAGAAUUGCCUUUAAGACUGCAUCGCUUGAACGUCGGAGAGGUGAGUGGAAUUCCGAGUGUAGAGGUGAAAUUCGUAGAUAUUCGGAAGAACACCAGUGGCGAAGGCGGCUCACUGGACGACUGUUGACGCUGAGGUACGAAAGCGUGGGGAGCAAACAGGAUUAGAUACCCGGGUAGUCCCUGUCUCUUAUAC
This 301-nucleotide ribosomal RNA is filed under the name uncultured bacterium. RNAcentral's name for it is "partial 16S ribosomal RNA". It matches the Rfam family "Bacterial small subunit ribosomal RNA", at positions 509 to 807 of the family's 1533-position model. The record is from RNAcentral.